RNAcentral lists this ribosomal RNA (472 nucleotides) under uncultured bacterium. Its description in RNAcentral is "bacterial SSU rRNA". It matches the Rfam family "Bacterial small subunit ribosomal RNA", at positions 355 to 825 of the family's 1533-position model. The record is from RNAcentral.
UGGGGAAUAUUGGACAAUGGGGGAAACCCUGAUCCAGCGACGCCGCGUGUGUGAAGAAGGCCUGCGGGUUGUAAAGCACUUUCGGUGGGAACGAAGUAUGCCGGGCUAAUACCCCGGUAGGCUGACGUUACUCAAUGAAGAAGCACCGGCUAACUCUGUGCCAGCAGGAGCGGUAAUACAGAGGCCCCAAGCGUUAUCCGGAAUCACUGGGCGUAAAGGGCGCGUAGGCGGCAAUUCAAGUCAUCUGUGAAAUCUCCGGGCUUAACUCGGAACGGUCAGAUGAUACUGCUUUGCUAGAGUGCAGAAGGGGCAAUCGGAAUUCUUGGUGUAGCGGUGAAAUGCGUAGAUAUCAAGAGGAACACCUGAGGUGAAGACGGGUUGCUGGGCUGACACUGACGCUGAGGCGCGAAAGCCAGGGGAGCAAACGGGAUUAGAUACCCCGGUAGUCCCUGAGCGGGCUGGCAAGGCGCAU